RNAcentral lists this transfer RNA (76 nucleotides) under Agrobacterium sp. RNAcentral's name for it is "tRNA-Ala". It matches the Rfam family "tRNA". From Rfam's summary of the family: Transfer RNA (tRNA) molecules are approximately 80 nucleotides in length. Their secondary structure includes four short double-helical elements and three loops (D, anti-codon, and T loops). Further hydrogen bonds mediate the characteristic L-shaped molecular structure. tRNAs have two regions of fundamental functional importance: the anti-codon, which is responsible for specific mRNA codon recognition, and the 3' end, to which the tRNAs corresponding amino acid is attached (by aminoacyl-tRNA synthetases). tRNAs cope with the degeneracy of the genetic code in two manners: having more than one tRNA (with a specific anti-codon) for a particular amino acid; and 'wobble' base-pairing, i.e. permitting non-standard base-pairing at the 3rd anti-codon position. Lineage: Bacteria; Pseudomonadati; Pseudomonadota; Alphaproteobacteria; Hyphomicrobiales; Rhizobiaceae. RNAcentral also lists the same sequence under 576 other names. The record is from RNAcentral.
GGGGCCUUAGCUCAGCUGGGAGAGCACCUGCUUUGCAAGCAGGGGGUCAUCGGUUCGAUCCCGAUAGGCUCCACCA